CMRGCGAGUCGCAUGCUCCGGCCGCCAUGGCGGCCGCGGGAAUUCGAUUAGAGUUUGAUCCUGGCUCAGAGCGAACGCUGGCGGCAGGCUUAACACAUGCAAGUCGAGCGGGCGUAGCAAUACGUCAGCGGCAGACGGGUGAGUAACGCGUGGGAACGUACCUUUUGGUUCGGAACAACACAGGGAAACUUGUGCUAAUACCGGAUAAGCCCUUACGGGGAAAGAUUUAUCGCCGAAAGAUCGGCCCGCGUCUGAUUAGCUAGUUGGUGAGGUAAUGGCUCACCAAGGCGACGAUCAGUAGCUGGUCUGAGAGGAUGAUCAGCCACAUUGGGACUGAGACACGGCCCAAACUCCUACGGGAGGCAGCAGUGGGGAAUAUUGGACAAUGGGCGCAAGCCUGAUCCAGCCAUGCCGCGUGAGUGAUGAAGGCCCUAGGGUUGUAAAGCUCUUUUGUGCGGGAAGAUAAUGACGGUACCGCAAGAAUAAGCCCCGGCUAACUUCGUGCCAGCAGCCGCGGUAAUACGAAGGGGGCUAGCGUUGCUCGGAAUCACUGGGCGUAAAGGGUGCGUAGGCGGGUCUUUAAGUCAGGGGUGAAAUCCUGGAGCUCAACUCCAGAACUGCCUUUGAUACUGAGGAUCUUGAGUUCGGGAGAGGUGAGUGGAACUGCGAGUGUAGAGGUGAAAUUCGUAGAUAUUCGCAAGAACACCAGUGGCGAAGGCGGCUCACUGGCCCGAUACUGACGCUGAGGCACGAAAGCGUGGGGAGCAAACARGAUUAKAUACCCUGGUAGUCCACGCCGUAAACGAUGAAUGCCAGCCGUUAGUGGGUUUACUCACUAGUGGCGCAGCUAACGCUUUAAGCAUUCCGCCUGGGGAGUASGGUCGCAAGAUUAAAACCCAAAGGAAUUGACGGGGCCCGCACAAGCGGUAGAGCAUGUGGUUUAAUUCKACGCAACGCGCARAACUUACYAGCCUUGWMWCYWGUCGCGGAUUCWRARMGAGUCUYAUUCGYUGACGAGAMAGWGCUGCUGGUGUCUCWCUCKGUCUGAGWKUWGGUUAGUCCGCACACGCACCCCKUCUAGUKCUACAUUAGUURWGCUCUAAGGACUGCGURUAGCSSAGAGGGGAKAGUCRUCUCUGCUMGGCUGUMACGKCUCAUGCGUGCAUGGGCUAGAACGUSAAUCAACGGUCAUUCUAAUGGCUGCAUCAGUCUGCAUAG
Molecule: ribosomal RNA, 1218 nt
Filed under: uncultured bacterium
Lineage: Bacteria
Description: partial 16S ribosomal RNA
Rfam family: Bacterial small subunit ribosomal RNA
Source: RNAcentral